GCCUCUGUAGCUCAGUUGUUUAGAGCGCUGCACCGGAAUCGCAGGGCCGCAGGUUCAAUUCCUGCCAGAGGAC
RNAcentral lists this transfer RNA (73 nucleotides) under Paramuricea clavata. It matches the Rfam family "tRNA". From Rfam's summary of the family: Transfer RNA (tRNA) molecules are approximately 80 nucleotides in length. The record is from Rfam by way of RNAcentral. Lineage: Eukaryota; Metazoa; Cnidaria; Anthozoa; Malacalcyonacea; Plexauridae.